UCAGCUUUCGAUUCAAGUGGAGGACAAGGAGACCUAUAAAUCGAUGCUGGACUAUGGAUCACCGGAGAAUUAUGAACAGUGGCAGCAAUGGACCAUGCUGGUCACAGGAUACAGAGUUAAUAAAGUUUUUGAAAAGCUACCAGAAGAAGAUGGCAGGACAGAUGCGGCUGCUAAUGGCAACAUGACAACAUGCCAGGCAGGCUAUGAGCAGUGGAGACAAUGGAGAUGUCAAUUGAGGUUAACAGAACCUCUAUACCAUGAGCAACACAUUCAGAAUUUAUUCUAUGUGGCCCAGGACUAACACACAAGG
Molecule: long non-coding RNA, 310 nt
Organism: Mobula hypostoma (lesser devil ray)
Lineage: Eukaryota; Metazoa; Chordata; Chondrichthyes; Myliobatiformes; Myliobatidae
Exons: 3
Source: RefSeq, a predicted model, not a curated record